Molecule: non-coding RNA, 28 nt
Filed under: Cricetulus griseus (Chinese hamster)
Lineage: Eukaryota; Metazoa; Chordata; Mammalia; Rodentia; Cricetidae
Source: RNAcentral
CACCCUGAGCAGCUCAUCACAGGCAAGG